UACGUAGGUGGCGAGCGUUGUCCGGAUUUAUUGGGCGUAAAGCGCGCGCAGGCGGUUGUCUAAGUCUGCUGUGAAAUCUCCCGGCUCAACUGGGAGGGGGCGGCGGAGACUGGGCGACUGGAGGGACCUAGAGGCCGGUGGAAUUCCCGGUGUAGUGGUGAAGUGCGUAGAGAUCGGGAGGAACACCUGUGGCGAAGGCGGCCGGCUGGGGGUACCCUGACGCUGAGGCGCGACAGCGUGGGGAGCGAACCGG
This 253-nucleotide ribosomal RNA is filed under the name uncultured bacterium. Its description in RNAcentral is "partial 16S ribosomal RNA". It matches the Rfam family "Bacterial small subunit ribosomal RNA", at positions 524 to 776 of the family's 1533-position model. The record is from RNAcentral.